RNAcentral lists this long non-coding RNA (203 nucleotides) under Gossypium raimondii (Peruvian cotton). RNAcentral's name for it is "long non-coding RNA (GRAI_LNC008025)". Lineage: Eukaryota; Viridiplantae; Streptophyta; Magnoliopsida; Malvales; Malvaceae. The record is from RNAcentral.
UCGUCUGUUAAAUGUUGUAAAUCUUUUUGUUAGUUUUCUUUAAGUUAUUUAACGUUCCUUCUUCCCCUUUCCCCUUUCCCCUUUUCAUUUUCUUUUACAUUUUAUUAUUCUUCUUUCUUUUCUUUUCUUUUCUUUAUUUUGUUAUUUUCCUUGGUAACUUUGCUAGCAGGAUAAAUCGAGCUCGCCUUGGUAUCCAUUGUUUU